Molecule: long non-coding RNA, 121 nt
Organism: Cucurbita moschata (crookneck pumpkin)
Lineage: Eukaryota; Viridiplantae; Streptophyta; Magnoliopsida; Cucurbitales; Cucurbitaceae
Exons: 3
Source: RefSeq, a predicted model, not a curated record
GUUGGGCCCCAAAGGGAGAUGGAUUGUUAGGUCCCAUAUCGGUUGUAUAGGGAAACGAAACAUUCCUUAUAAGGGUGUAAAAACCUCUUCUCCUAGCAGACACGUUUUAAAACUAUGAGGC